CCUACGGGAGACAGCAGUGAGGAAUAUUGGUCAAUGGGCGCGAGCCUGAACCAGCCAAGUAGCGUGAAGGAUGACUGCUCUACGGGUUGUAAACUUCUUUUAUAAAGGAAUAAAGGUAGCCACGUGUGCAUAUUUGUAUGUACUUUAUGAAUAAGCAUCGGCUAACUCCGUGCCAGCAGCCGCGGUAAUACGGAGGAUCCGAGCGUUAUCCGGAUUUAUUGGGUUUAAAGGGUGCGUAGAUGGGUUGUUAAGUCAGUUGUGAAAGUUUGCGGCUCAACCGUAAAAUUGCCAUUGAUACUGGCAGCCUUGAGUGCGGUUGAGGUAGGCGGAAUGCGUGGUGUAGCGGUGAAAUGCUUAGAUAUCACGAAGAACUCCGAUUGCGAAGGCAGCCUACUAAGCUACAACUGACAUUGAAGCUCGAAAGUGUGGGUAUCAAACAGGAUUAGAUACCCUUGUAGUC
RNAcentral lists this ribosomal RNA (460 nucleotides) under uncultured bacterium. RNAcentral describes it as "partial 16S ribosomal RNA". It matches the Rfam family "Bacterial small subunit ribosomal RNA", at positions 338 to 795 of the family's 1533-position model. The record is from RNAcentral.